GAUCAAGCUACAAAGAGCAUAUAGGGAAUGCCUUGGCACUAAACGCCGAUGAAGGACGCAACUAACUGCGAUAAGCCACGGGGAGCUGUAAAUGAGCCGUGAUCCGUGGAUUUCCGAAUGCGGAAACGCACUAUGGUGGAGCCAUAGUAUCAUAACAUGAAUACAUAAUGUUAUGAGGGGAACCUAGGGAACUGAAACAUCUAAGUACCUAGAGGAAAAGAAAGUAAAUCAACGAUUACCUAAGUAGUGGCGAGCGAACGGGUAACAGCCCAAACCAUUGGAAGCAAUUCCGAUGGGGUUUCGGACUCAGACGUUGCUGAAGUACUUAUAGUUGAACAUACCUGGAAAGGUGGGCGAAACAGAGUAAUAGCCUCGUAAGCGAAAUGAGUAUCAAGCAUAUGAGUAUCCAGAGUAGCGUGGGACACGUGAAAUCCUGCGUGAAGAUAGGAGGACCAUCUCCAAAGGCUAAAUACGAUUUAGUGACCGAUAGCGAAUAGUACCGUGAGGGAACGGUGAAAAGAACCCCGGGAGGGGAGUGAAAUAGAACCUGAAACUAUAUGUUUACAAGCAGAGAAAGCUCUACGUAGCAAUACAGAGCGAUCUCGUACUUUUUGUAGAACGGGCCGGCGAGUUACUGUAUGUAGCGAGGUUAAGUGAUUAAGUCACGGAGCCGAAGCGAAAGCGAGUCUUAAUAGGGCGACUUAGUUGCAUGCAGUAGACCCGAAACGAGACGACCUAUCCAUGAGCACGUUGAAGCAGAGGUAACACUCUGUGGAGGACGGAACACACUCCUGUUGAAAUAGUAGGUGAUGACUUGUGGAUAGCGGAGAAAUUCCAAUCGAGUCUCGAUAUAGCUGGUUCUCCUCGAAAUAGCUUUAGGGCUAGCCUCUGUGUAAAGAUAGUUGGGGGUAGAGCACUGAAUGGUCUAGGGGGCUUCGCGGCUUACCGAAACUUAUCAAACUCCGAAUACCAACGUAUCGAUAGCAGGGAGUCAGACUGCGAGAGAUAAGUUCCGUAGUCAAAAGGGAAACAGCCCAGACCUACAACUAAGGUCCCUAAUGUACAGUUAAGUGUGGAAGGAUGUGUAAACGCAUAGACAACCAGGAUGUUGGCUCAGAAGCAGCCAUUCAUUAAAAGAGUGCGUAAUAGCUCACUGGUCGAGUGGGUAUGCGCCGACAAUAAUCGGGGCUAAACUGUAAACCGAAGUUUGGGAAUAUAUAUUUUUAUAUAUUGGUAGAGGAGCAAUGUAUGCGGGCUGAAGCGUAAUCGAAAGGGUACGUGGACUGCAUACAAGAGAGAAUGCCGGCAUGAGUAGCGCGAGCGUAGAUAUAAUCUACGCGGUCGAAUGUCCAAGGUUUUCUGGGGAAGGUUGAACCACCCAGAGUAAGUCGGGGCCUAAGCUGAGGGCGAAAGCCGUAGGUGAUGGACAACAGGUAGAUAUUCCUGUACCACUUAAUGUAGACCAAGAGUCGAGGCAGGGACGCAGAAGGAUAGUGCAACCGUGGGAAUGGAAAUCCACGGCUAAAUCACGAGUAGGAUUAGGUAGUGAAGUACGCCAAAUUAUUAACUAUGAGUGAUGAUGGGGAGUGAAUAUAGUAGCGAAGUGCAUGAAUUCACGCUGACGAGAAAAGCUGCUAGAUAUACAUUGAGUGCCCGUACCCCAAACCGACACAGGUGGACGAUGAGAGAAUCAUAAGACUGGCGGGAUAACCUUUGUUAAGGAACUCGGCAAAAUGACCUCGUAACUUCGGGAGAAGAGGUGCCCAUCGCAAGAUGGGUCGCAGAGAAUCAGCCCAAGCAACUGUUUACCAAAAACAUAGGUUUCUGCAAAAUCGUAAGAUGAUGUAUAGGAGCUGACGCCUGCCCAGUGCUGGAAGGUCAAGGGGAGAUGUUAGAGCAAUCGAAGCAUUGAACUUAAGCCCCAGUGAACGGCGGCCGUAACUAUAAC
RNAcentral lists this ribosomal RNA (1948 nucleotides) under Candidatus Onthoplasma faecipullorum. RNAcentral describes it as "partial 23S ribosomal RNA". It matches the Rfam family "Bacterial large subunit ribosomal RNA", at positions 1 to 1946 of the family's 2925-position model. Lineage: Bacteria; Bacillati; Bacillota; Clostridia; Christensenellales; Christensenellaceae. The record is from RNAcentral.